UAGGGAAUCUUCCACAAUGGACGAAAGUCUGAUGGAGCAACGCCGCGUGAGUGAAGAAGGGUUUCGGCUCGUAAAACUCUGUUGUUAAAGAAGAACAUAUCUGAGAGUAACUGUUCAGGUAUUGACGGUAUUUAACCAGAAAAGCCACGGGCUAACUACGUGCCAG
This 166-nucleotide ribosomal RNA is filed under the name uncultured bacterium. RNAcentral describes it as "partial 16S ribosomal RNA". It matches the Rfam family "Bacterial small subunit ribosomal RNA", at positions 355 to 511 of the family's 1533-position model. The record is from RNAcentral.